This 462-nucleotide ribosomal RNA is filed under the name uncultured bacterium. RNAcentral's name for it is "partial 16S ribosomal RNA". It matches the Rfam family "Bacterial small subunit ribosomal RNA", at positions 28 to 507 of the family's 1533-position model. The record is from RNAcentral.
GAUGAACGCUAACAGAAUGCUUAACACAUGCCAGUCAUUGGCGAAGCUGCGCUUGCGCAGUCUAGCCAAGGCGGACGGGUGAGUAACGCGUAAGGAACUUGCCCUGCAGACAGGGAUAACAGACGGAAACGACUGAUAACACCUGGUAUUGUCAGGCUGGCGCAUGCCGGCCUGAUGAAAGGAGACGCUGCAGGAGAGCCUUGCGCCCUAUUAGCUAGUUGGUGGGGUAACGGCCCACCAAGGCGAUGAUAGGUAGCCGGCCUGAGAGGGUGAACGGCCACAAGGGGACUGAGAUACGGCCCUUACUCCUACGGGAGGCAGCAGUGGGGAAUAUUGGACAAUGGGGGCAACCCUGAUCCAGCAAUUCUGUGUGCACGAAGAAGGUUUUCGGAUUGUAAAGUGCUUUCAGCAGGGAAGAAGAAAGUGACGGUACCUGCAGAAGAAGCGACGGCUAAAUACGUG